AGAGUUUGAUCAUGGCUCAGAUUGAACGCUGGCGGAAUGCUUUACACAUGCAAGUCGAGCGGCAGCGCGGGGCAACCUGGCGGCGAGCGGCGAACGGGUGAGUAACACAUCGGAACGUAUCCAGUCGUGGGGGAUAGCCCGGCGAAAGCCGGAUUAAUACCGCAUACGACCUGAGGGUGAAAGUGGGGGCUCGCAAGACCUCACGCGAAUGGAGCGGCCGAUGUCCGAUUAGCUAGUUGGUGAGGUAAAGGCUCACCAAGGCGACGAUCGGUAGCUGGUCUGAGAGGAUGAUCAGCCACACUGGGACUGAGACACGGCCCAGACUCCUACGGGAGGCAGCAGUGGGGAAUUUUGGACAAUGGGGGAAACCCUGAUCCAGCCAUUCCGCGUGAGUGAAGAAGGCCUUCGGGUUGUAGAGCUCUUUCGGCAGGAACGAAACGGUUACGGCUAAUACCUGUGACUACUGACGGUACCUGAAGAAGAAGCACCGGCUAACUACGUGCCAGCAGCCGCGGUAAUACGUAGGGUGCGAGCGUUAAUCGGAAUUACUGGGCGUAAAGCGUGCGCAGGCGGUUAUGCAAGCCAGACGUGAAAGCCCCGGGCUUAACCUGGGAAUGGCGUUUGGGACUGCAUGGCUAGAGUACGUCAGAGGGGGGUGGAAUUCCACGUAGCAGUGAAAUGCGUAGAGAUGUGGAGGAACACCGAUGGCGAAGGCAGCCCCUGGGAUGAUACUGACGCUCAGGCACGAAAGCGUGGGGAGCAAACAGGAUUAGAUACCCUAGUAGUCC
RNAcentral lists this ribosomal RNA (788 nucleotides) under uncultured bacterium. RNAcentral's name for it is "bacterial SSU rRNA". It matches the Rfam family "Bacterial small subunit ribosomal RNA", at positions 8 to 796 of the family's 1533-position model. The record is from RNAcentral.